GAAAAAUAUCUAACACAGUAACCCAUCAAUGCGUUAUUUGCAUAGAUAGUUUUUGAGCACUAAGGUACCUUAGUGGACUUAAUUCAAAAUUCUUACCGUUAAGACUGGUUUGGUCCAUUGAGAAUUGAUGGUGAGCUCGACUUUUCGACAUAGAUCCUGUUGUAAACAUAUUAAAGAAAUUUUCAGUCGUAUGAUUGGUGAAAAUAAAGGCAGAAGAUAGAAGGGUGGAUAAUUUUGUAAUGCGAAAUGCCAUGGAAAGUUGGGUUGAUGGAAAAUCGUUGAACUUAAUUCGAUCCAGAGAUAAGUGCUAACAUGGAUUUCAGACUAUGGGGGAGCAGAAUCUGGGGUUGAAGGUGAGAGAGUGGGAAAUGUUGCACUUUGAAUGGGAAAUUUUAAGGGUAGGACCGUUCCAUUAAAUCAACCUCUCUUGAUAGAAUUAAAAGGAGAACAAGAGAUACUUUUUCUUCCUUUUGUCUAACAUUUUUGUCUUAAGAUUAAGAAUUUGAUUUUAAUAUUGAUUAUGUUAAGCUU
Molecule: long non-coding RNA, 531 nt
Filed under: Olea europaea subsp. europaea
Lineage: Eukaryota; Viridiplantae; Streptophyta; Magnoliopsida; Lamiales; Oleaceae
Source: RNAcentral